UGUCCUUUGGUUACUCAAUUAUUGUACGACUAUAGUGUAGUUCGUUUAGAUUCCCCAUAUAUCUUUUUACUCACACAAUUCCUGAUUAGACGACUCCGCAUACACAAUAAUUCACAUAUAAUUACCAGGCGAUAAAACCGAUAUAUGACCGUAACUGUUGUGACAUUUUUAGUGAAAUAUCACAAAAAUCAGAUAAUUUAUUUAGUAGAUAUUCGAACAGUAGAGUUUGUAAACAAAUUUUGGUGGUGUUGUUAGUGGUUUAGUA
This is a non-coding RNA of Cinara cedri, 265 nucleotides long. Lineage: Eukaryota; Metazoa; Arthropoda; Insecta; Hemiptera; Aphididae. The record is from the annotation of a GenBank genome assembly.